CGCCCCGAGAACGGUGAAUACUUAAGGGAAGCCCGAGCCAGAUCUGACUUCCUUGGCAGCCUCCACUUGUACAGACGUGGAGCGCAGUUCUGCGUCCCAACCUCAGCCCAGCCGCAGCGGGGCCGCGCCGCCACCAGCUCCCGGUAGCCUCCGCCGGCCCGGCGCUCCUCUGUCGUCUUUCCUUCUGCCUCCGUUUUCUUGCCCUGUUUUUACUCCUACUCCUCCUUUUUAAAGCGGUCAUAUUUUCGCAACAUUAAUAUUUAUUUUGCUUGGUAAUUAGAAAACCCGGAGGAACUCCCUGGUCCCCGUGCGCCCUCGGAGGUCGGCGAGUGCCCGCAUGUGCCCCCCUCCUCGCUCAUUUGCUCUGAAGGGUCCGGCCCUGCCUGCCUUCCAACCCGCUUGUCCCCACCCUGUUCGCUGCUCCCUGUAGAGGAAGCCGAGGAACUUACCUGCGUGUUGGUCCCACUGUCCUGCUAUACUCGACUGGGGGAGGGGGGUGGGGGGUGGCCGUGCUCAGCCGAGUUGGGGCUGGCCCGGACUCCCGCGCUGCUAUUUCUCUAUGCACCAGAUCGUAUUUAUGACUCCUGGGGAAAUAUAUCUUAUUUUAACCUUCCAGAGAAGUGAAAGAAUUUAAAAAGUAAUGCACAGUUCUAGAAGAAAAAUUUUUUUAAAGAGGAGGCUUAGGCCUGAACCUCCUGGCAUGGGCGGGUGGAAAGGUGUUUUUAUUUAAUUUAAAUUGUGUUUCGUUUGUGGAAUCUUUUUUAAAGCUUGGUCGCUUUUUUGGACUAGCCGGAAGAGAGGCCCGGUGGAGGGUGUUCUGAGAUGGGCGCGUCUGCACCGGCUGAGCUCUGGCUUGAUCCCGGGUUCUCUGAGGCUCCUUCGUCCUUUGCUGCUCCCAGGUGGCUCCUGCUGAGCCUUCUGAACAGGACGCUAGACAAAUCGUUGGGGAAAAUUUUUUGUGUUGUUGGUUUUUGUUGUGUUCUUUUUUUUUCCAUUUGUUACAAAACUGAGGAAAGGAAGAAAUUAAAAAAAAUAAAUCUGUUUAGAUCCAAAAGUCACUGGAA
RNAcentral lists this long non-coding RNA (1064 nucleotides) under Rattus norvegicus (Norway rat). RNAcentral's name for it is "long non-coding RNA NONRATT027026". The record is from RNAcentral. Lineage: Eukaryota; Metazoa; Chordata; Mammalia; Rodentia; Muridae.